Brassica napus (rape) is the source of this 2724-nucleotide long non-coding RNA. RefSeq lists it as uncharacterized. The record is from RefSeq and is a predicted model, not a curated record. The transcript is spliced from 2 exons. Lineage: Eukaryota; Viridiplantae; Streptophyta; Magnoliopsida; Brassicales; Brassicaceae.
AUUAGCCUCUAUAUCAUUAUAAUCCUGAUUACCUGAAUAGAAACCCUAGAUCUAGCAAACCAUCCUUCCAUCAAACAAAUUUUUGCCAAGCUGAACAAUAGUCUUGUUCAACUUGUUUACUGUUUACCGUUUUGCUAUCUAUAUUUACUACUUUAUAAACUAUUAGCCUAGCUUAAUCGUAUAACUAUUAGAUCUUUUGUGUGCCCUAGCUCCCUGUGGAUUUGAUCCCUAAGUACUACAACUCGACCUCUUAUUUGAGAGAGUAUAAAUCACUCCUUAGUGUAAUUUGAGUGAUAUCAAGCAGGUGCGUGAUUGAUUCUUCUUCGUUACAUCUCUUGCAAAGGGAAGAGACUGGGAUAUUGCGAAUAGCAAAAUGUUCUCCUACUGGUAGACCAUCAUGUAGGGAUUUCCGGAUAAAAACUUUGAUCCUUUUUAUAUCAAUUACACUAAUAUCUUCUUUAUUUAUAGUUGGGCAUUUUAUUUGUUAACUUGGUUAGAUCAGUUAUUCGUUUUGAUUUGAUUCCAAAAAUUUAAAUAUUUGUAAAGUUUCUGAUCGAAACAAAUAGUAAAAUGUAGUAUCCGUAAAAAUAAAUAAAUAUUUUUUUUUGAAAAGUCAAAUAUUCGAUCUAGUUUGUAUAUUUAUAGAUAUGUAAUAUAAUUAUAUAUACAAGUCAUUAUAUUUAUACAAAUCUUCUUAUAUAAAUUUGCUUCUUUUACUCUUUUAAAUUGUUUUUGAAAUUUUAGUUUUGAGCCAUUACACACCCACUCUAAUUUUUGUGUUACACCAAAUAUUAACAUAUGAAUAUUCUUAUUUGGCUCAUCAAUGUUGGAUUAUUUGAUUUUGAUUUGUGAUUUGCAUUAAAAUGUUUGCUUCUAGUUAAUCAUAUUAUUCAUGUUAUUUUAUAUGAUGUCAUGUUUAUUUAACUUUUAUUACUACAUAUUAUUUUUAAAUUUUAUUUUAUUUUUAAUAUAAUUAACUAAUAGAAUUGGAUAAUCUAAAAAUACCUAAACGAAUUCCGAAUUUAUGGAUUUCUAAAACUUUUUGGAUUGAAACGGAUCAUAAACUUAACUAUUUGAUUCGAAUGAAACAUAUCACUUAUACUAAAAUUUUGGAUAUCCAAUUGGCCAUGCCUAUUGAUUAUGAAUGUAUUAGAAAGUAUGUAAACAACUAUUAGAACUGAGCCUUAUAAUCUUUUUCUUUUAAUUUGUUUCCAAACACUCUUAACUUUGGUGAUAAGUGAAAUUAAAAACCAAUGAGAGAAGAGCAGUGGGGUUAGUUUGACUGACCCCUAGCCAAUAAAAUCAGCCAAUGGGCGAUAGAGAGAUAUAGAGACCUCGUAAGAACCGCCUCCUUCGCCAUUUGUAUCAUCUCUCUAUAAAACCAUUAAGCCAUCAACCUCUCACUGCAUUCAACAAAUCAUUCAAAUAUUUUUUUCUAAAGAACCCCAAAAAAAGACUUGGCAGAGAAUCAAUGGAACGUGGAGUUCCUCUAUCUCACUAUCAACUACCCAACUCCAACUCUGCUCAUUAAUGAAAAUACAACUACGAUGAACCUGUGGCUCCGUUUCGUUUUAUGGUAAAGUAAAGUAAAAUAUGUUACUUUUUUUUUGGUAAAAAUGUUAAGUAUUUAAAAUAUGUUACUUGUCUAUAACUUGGUUGGGCGUAUCAGACAUACGCUUGAGAGGUGUUUUGUUCAGAAGUGCCUUAAGAUUUUUUUCCAGUAGAUGAAAAUUUUAGUUAGUGCUAUUGGAGCUCAUCAUAUGGGUGAUGUAAAUUUGCUCUCGUUUUAAUGACAGUUGCGCAUUUGUUAUGAAAUAUAUUAGUAUAUAUUCUUCUAACAACAUCUCUGUAAGAGUUAUUGAGGAAAACAAUAUGAUGACAGCAGGCCCGUCUUAUGUAAAUUAUGGACCCUGGCUUAGAUUUUUUUCUCCAAAAUUAUAGCUAUAUUUAACAAAUUUGGACCCUAAUUUCUUAAAGAAUUACUUUCAGAAGAAAAAGUGACAGGAAAAAUAUUCGUGAGUACAUCAAAACGGGUUGUUACUUUCACAAAGCCAUUAGCUGCUUGUUUGUGUGUGUGUGUUUGCCGCUGAUUUCAUGUUUGCUUUUGUCAUGUUCUGUGGAUAAUGAUAUAUAAUUAGUGGGAAUUGGCUGCUUGGGCCGUCGUGAAAGUUGAAGUAUCUUAAUAUUAUUUGUAACGGUUUGAAGUGGUAUUUCAAUGAAUUGUUCUGGAUUAAGUUACUAAUAUUAAACUGUGCGUAUAUGUAGCAUCUAUUCUCUAGUUGGAUACUGUGGAAUAAUUAUCAUGUUCAUCACUUAUAUUUAAAGAAAGUCGAAAUAGGAAACGGUGGCCCAUGAGAGAAUGUGUUCCAUCCGUAAUAUGUGUAAUGAAUACGUUCUUCAUUUUAACAGUAUUUCUCUCGGUGGGAUGCUCUGUUUUACGUGUCAUGUGACCUAUGUCUAGAAAGUCUGAAUGUCAAUUCAUGUGCCAUAAGUUUAUUACAAUGAUACUUAUGAAACAAUGCACAUUGUAAACAUAUAUUAGACGUUCGCUAUGGAGAUGUGCUACAAACUGGUGUUGUUUCAGCCUUGUAAAGGGGUUUGUAAUUGUAAGUGGUUAUUUUUUUGGGUUUAUUAAAACCAAAUAGUUAAUGUAUUUAAAAUAGCUACAAUAACAGAACGUGUAUUUUCUUUUUCAUUAUCAAUACGGGGUCCUUAAAGUUGAAA